UGGGCUGAUAGGAAUAUUUAUGCCCUCUCCCCUCGGAUGCGGCGCGCAAGCUGGAUGUCUUUAGGCAUAAUAGUGACGCGUUUGGCGUGAAUGGCGCACAGGUUGGUAUCCUCAAAUAGCCCCACCAGGUAGGCCUCGCAAUCCUGUGCGAUCUCCCGUACCAAGCGCUGAAAAGGUAGCUUCCGGAUUAGCAGCUCGGUCGACUUCUGGUAG
RNAcentral lists this long non-coding RNA (213 nucleotides) under Homo sapiens (human). RNAcentral's name for it is "HSALNT0103189". The record is from RNAcentral. Lineage: Eukaryota; Metazoa; Chordata; Mammalia; Primates; Hominidae.